RNAcentral lists this ribosomal RNA (381 nucleotides) under uncultured cyanobacterium. Its description in RNAcentral is "bacterial SSU rRNA". It matches the Rfam family "Bacterial small subunit ribosomal RNA", at positions 376 to 770 of the family's 1533-position model. The record is from RNAcentral. Lineage: Bacteria; Bacillati; Cyanobacteriota.
CGAAAGCCCGACGGAGCAAUACCGCGUGAGGGAAGACGGCCUAUGGGUUGUAAACCUCUUUUUUCAGGGAGGAACAAAAUGACGUGUACCUGAAGAAUAAGCAUCGGCUAACUCCGUGCCAGCAGCCGCGGUAAGACGGAGGAUGCAAGUGUUAUCCGGAAUUACUGGGCGUAAAGCGUCUGUAGGUGGUUUGGUAAGUCAACUGUUAAAUCUUGAGGCUCAACUUCAAAACAGCAGUCGAAACUAUCAGACUAGAGUAUAGUAGGGGUAAAGGGAAUUUCCAGUGGAGCGGUGAAAUGCGUAGAUAUUGGAAAGAACACCGAUGGCGAAGGCACUUUACUGGGCUAUUACUAACACUCAGAGACGAAAGCUAGGGGAGCA